UGCCAGUGAUUAUUUUUUUAACUUGGAGGAAAAAGUAGAUAUAAAUCACUUGGUGUGUCUGACAAUUUUUUAUUGAGGGGAUUUAUAGAAUCACAGGCUCAGAAGAGAAGCCAAGAGCCUGGAGAGUUGUUCUCCUGCCUUGGGGUGCCCGGGAUCAGAUCUGGAACGGCCACCCCUACCUUUUUCCCAUGGGCAGAAUGGCCCAAAUGCAAAGAGGACAGAUUUCCUAAGAAUGGGAGUGUGUGGAAAAGACGGAUGGCCUCCUCUGCACCUGACAGCUUCCCACUGACAACAUCUGUGAAGGGAGGAGAGGACUUGGCAUAGCUGAGCCAGAGAAGACGAUUCCAAGACUUGUGAGUCUGAGAAACACAGCAUUCUGGCCUCUUUCAGCUUCUGAGCUUUGACGCCUACAUAGGUGUCCUGGUCACACUGAAACAGCUGACUUAAGCAAGAGGGUCAUGUGAUAAGGAAUGUGGAUGACUUCUGGGGUCUGAUAGCAGCCCCCUGUGAUAGCCAAGAAGGAAAAAAGGACCUCAGUCCUAUAAGCACCAAAGAACUGAAUUCUGCCACAACCAUAUGAUCUUGGAAGAAGACCCUGCAUUCCAGAGGAGAAAAAAGAUUAAUUUGGCCUUGGAUGACCCUGGGCAGAGAACCUAGCUAUAACAUGCUUGGACUUUGGACCCACCAAACUGUGAGCAAGAAAAAAAAAUAGUAGUAUUUGGAAACAGCCAACAAAAAGAAAUAAAGUCAUCUGAGAAGGUGCUGAGACCAGCGUAUGUCCUAGCCCCAUGAAAGGACCUCGCACAAGACGGUGAAUCGGCAGAAAGAUCUGGAACGCAGUAGAGAUGGAAGUUCAGACAGGAACACGUGGGGCAGCACGUGGAUAGUGCCGUGGGCAGGACACACAUGCUUUAUGACCCAGAGAUGCCACUCUCUCCAGCACCAGCCAACUCUGUCUGGAAAGACCCUUUGGAUAUCCAUAAAUGCCAUGUACAAAGGAGAUUUUUUUGUUGUUGUUCCUAAAGGCUCAUUUCCUCUGGCGGCCAAUGAAUAAAAGGUACAAAGAAAAACAGCCAGCCAUGCCCGGGAAAGACAUCAGGGCCACACCUUCCCCUGGCCAGGAGAUGAGAGCAGGGAGGGAAGACAAGAGCACGCCAAGCCCUUUCCCUCGUGGCCAAAAACCAAAUGUGGUUUGCAGAUGCCUUGGCCAGCGACGGCCCCUGGCUGGGAACUGCCUGUGCUCCUGUCCCGCUCCCUCACACCGACUCCGAGGGGACCCAUGCAUGCUCUCUUUCUGCCCUGCUCUGGCCUGGGCACCGGCCCCCUAGGAGAGUCUAGCCCUCUUCCUCGGCCGAGCAGCUCAGAUGUGCCACCACCUGCCAAACCAGCCUUAUGAACGGAAGAUGCUCAGUGCCCCUGCAGCCCAGAAGUCCCCUUGAAAACCACCGUGAAACUCUCCAUGGAAAGAGCUGAGAGCUGAACCACUCAGAGGCAGUUUCUUCAAAAUAAGAUAUCAAUCAAAUUCAUCUUUUCCAAGCUGCCUGGAAUGCCAAAUUACGUGUGGGCAACAUAAGGACAGUCCUGGCUGCCUAAAUUGUGCACUGAUGAGAUACGGUCUGUGGUGUCUCCAGCGGACAUCAGCACAUGUUUUCACAGAAACACACUCAGAACAGGACGUUUCCCAUGGGCCACCUUUCGUGGCCUUCCUGCUUUCCUAGGCCGGCUUCCCUCCCCUCCGCUGGUCUUGUUUGGGAGUUGACUUGCCCUCCUUGGGCAUGAUGACCAUGGGAUUUCAAUUUUCUCCCUGGUUUUAUACAAACCGAAGGGAUUGAGGUAUUGAUGGUGUCAGUGGUAGCUUGUGGUGACCUUCCCAGCCUUGUGAAGAUUUUCGAUGGUGUUCACAGUCUGGAGAAAUGUCAGUGGACAUUUGCUUAAGCCCAGAAGGACCCACACACGAAUCAUGGUUAGGAGGCCUCAUUUCUACAAGGAGACCCGGAUGCUAAGGGCUCUCCUUCAGAAGAGGGUCCCUCAUGCAGUUCCUCCUUCCAACCCAAUUGAGCAAGUGACAUGCCUGGUCACAGAACCACAAGCUCAGUCUGUCACUGACCUGAAGGUCAAGGGUCCAGAGAGGUAUUCUUCAUUUUCUUCAAGGUUAUCUGUUGGUACAAAAGGGACCCCACUGUACACGAGACUCACAAAGCAGCAGGACCACGUUCCACGAGGCCACUGAACUCUCACAAGACUGCAUGGUUUCGAGGAGAAGGCUGCCCCAGGGCUGUUCUGGAAGGCUGGGGUGGGGUUGGCCGAGAGGGAGGGAGACUGUGCGGUGGGGGGAUGUGCUGAGUGCAGUAGAAACCUGAGCUGCCUCUUGUGCUGAAUGGAGGGCUACUUUGCCAAUUUGGGUUUCCCCUUCAAGCCCCCAAGGUGAUGUGCGAGAUGCCACUCGCCCAGGCAUAGGCAAUGGCUGGACGGGGCUGGUGAAGUUACAGCUGGCCAUCUAGAUACCGCCCGAGUAAAUACCUGCCCAGAACUUGGGAAGUGAAGCAUUUUCAAGAGAUGAAAAUGCCCACAUGUAAUGCCAAGGGCAAGGGCUCGAUCCUGGGGAAGCCAUUAGCUCUGCCCUUUCCCUCCCUGCCUUUGGGCUAACUCUGGGCCAAUGGUUCCAUGUGGGUCAUAAGAAACAUGAACAGGGACAUAAAUGGCUGAUGAUGAAUCUGCCACCAACAUUUUACAAAGCCACAGUUGAAUACUGGCCGUGGUGCUGGAAGUCUCAAGGGUUGUUUUUUUUUUUUUUUUUUGCUUGUUUUUGUUUUUAUAGAACACACCAUUGAAAUACACUGUUAGUGGGUGGUAUAGCACAGUGGCUGGGUGUAGGCGCCGGAAGCAAGUUGGCAACGUGAAGUCCUAGCGCUGCCUCUUACAUGCAUGAGACUUGGGAAGCAAGCUAUUUAAUUUCAUUGUGCCUCAGUUUUAUUUUUCCCUUGGAAAAACAAGGUUGAUGAUGAUGAUGGUACUUCCAUGGAUUUGUUGUGAGGAAUAAAUAAGAUUGAACAUACAAAAGAGUUAGAGGGCCUUGCUAGGAAUUGACCUUGGGACACACGUCAAGUCACCACUGGGAUGGUGGUCACCAAUGAGCCAGAAGGAGCCUCAAAGGCAUCUGGUCAGAUGCCACCACCACACAAAGAAGGAAGCUGGAUUCCUGAGAGGCAACGAUUCUUGCCAAAGGUCACCAGUAGCAUGGUGCUAGUGCUGUCCUCUCCUGACUCACAAAGGGAACGGUGGCACUUAGGUGUCAUCUUCCUCACUAAACACAAAUGUUGACAGGCGUCACCCUGAACUCUCCGUUCACGGUGUCACCUCCCCAAACUGAACAGCUGAAACAUUUUCCAGGCACCACAUAGAAGAGUCCCACAGGGGACCAUUCCCAGUGAGUCCCAGACAGAGGCGCUUGUGUAAUGAGACGAGGGAAGGGCACAAGGCUUGUGUCCCCACAGCCAGCUGAUGGAUGGGAGGCCCCUGUGCUAUGGCAAAGCCACUUCCCAUUACUAAUUUGAUGGUGUGUGAAAUGAGCCAUGUUUAUGAGCAGCCGAGGGAGUUCCUUCAGGGGAGCUGCCCCGUGUUCCGUGAGCCCAACUGUCCCAACAGGGUGUCAAGAUGGCUUCUGACCCUCUUUGCUGACUAAGAGUGGUGGCGACAGUGACACACAAUUUGCUGCAUUUCUCCUUUCUUGACAAAACCAGCCUGGUCUUUGGGAAAUAAUACCUGCUUGUUUUUGGUGACUCUACGCUUGACUCUUGCUCCCCUCUGUGCUCUUCUGAAUCAGUCCACCUUCCCUGGGAAGCAUCAUUUUGGAGAAAAAUAGGUUUCAUUUGAAUUCUUUCAAGGGAGGUCACUCACUCUGUGAUGUCUGAGAUAUCGGGUUGAGCUGGUAAAAUGGGACAAGUUGAUAUUAUAUUAAAUAAUCCUAGCCUGAGGUUAGGGAUGGAAGUGCUUGGGACAGCAGAGGAAUAAAGGAUUGAUUCUAAGUGUGGGUGUUCUCUAGGGGAACACAGUAGAAGCACAGGAGUCUUACAGUUCUUCAGUAAAAUCUAUCAACAAACUUUUCUUUAUAAACAGUGCAAGGACCAGGAUGGACAGUCCUCUGGUGAAGACCCACAAAGACUUCCACACGUGUGGUGAGAAGCAGAGGGAAGGAGGAAGGCUGGGGGAACGCUCCAAGGUGUUCGGUGGUGACCUGGACAGCAGGAUAUUACUUGAUAGCAAGGACAUAUGAAAUAGAACUCACCAGCCCUCUGCAGAAAUGGUGCAUUCUGCAGGCAGGCUAAUUUUGGUUACAUUUUUCUUCUUCUUUUUUUUCUUAACAAAUGUGUUAGAGAUUGAAUUAUGUACCCCCAAAUCCAGAGGGUGAUGCUCUGACCUCCAACAUGACCUUAUCUGGACACAGGGCCUUUAACAAGGCAAUUAAAGUUAAAUGAGGUCAUAACAUGGGACCUCAUCCAAUAGGUCUGGUGUCCUUACAGGAAGAAUGAGACACCUGAGCUUUCUGUCUCCGCUCACACACAGACAAAAGCCAUAUGAAGACCCAAGGAGGCAGCUAUGUGCAAGCCAAAAGAGGGGCCCCACCAGAAGCCAAUCAUGCAGGCACCUCAGCCUUGAACUCCAACCUCCAGAACUGUGAGAACAUCAGUUUCCAUUGUUUACACCCCCAAUCUGCGGUGUUUUCUGGGCAGCCCAAGUGGACUAAUACAAGAACUCCUUCUGCCUUCCAGUCGGACAUGUUAAUUUUUCCCGAAUCCGUUUUCACCUGGAAUGCUGUGCCAGCCAGUGCCCCUCCAAUCUGGAGAGACAACUCCUUAUAUAAGUGACUUUUAGAAAGCCUUGAAGGAAGGAUCCAGAGGGAAGGUGAACAAGGCUCUUCUGUCUGCUGCUCUGUGGAGGUGAGGCUCAGCAGCAGAUCCUCAACCAUGAGGGGACAGUAGAGGUUCCAGAUUGUAGAAAUAUUAUCUAUUUUUUUUCUUUCUUCUCUGUUGCUUGGAAUUGUUAUUGUCCAAGGAGAGCUUAGUCCCUCUUUGAAGGGCUUUCACUUGAUUAAAUCAGGUCCAUCCAGGAAAAUCUUACUUUUGAUGAAAUCAAAAUCAACGAAUUUGGGACUUGAAUUCCAUCUGAAAAAUCCCUUUGCGGUGGCACCCAGACUUGUGUUUGAUUGAAUAGCUGAGAGAAGGUAUGUGUACAUUAUAAAGUGGCUGCCAUCUCCUGUGGGACACUCCAAUGCACUAGGAAUAAUCUCUCUUGUAGUCCAUCCUAACCAGGGAUGCACCAAAAAGGGAACUGGGGGUAAUACUGUUUAGCUAUAACAGGGCCAUCACAAGCCCAUCUCAGCACUGAAGGCUCUGGAUGUCCUUUGGUUUCACUUGCAUGGUCACAUCUAGGGUUGGUCUGUCAAAAAAACUCUUCCCUGACUCCCUUGGAAAGACCACCAGGCUUCAGAAAGACAUGUUCUCCUCCUCUUCCCUUAGUGGUCCUCCUUAGGUUUAAACCCUGUCUGGGCUCACCACGGUAGUCUUUGUUUCUGUUCACUGAAAUGGCCUAGGAAGGAUCCAUCUACACUCUGGUGGAUGCUUUGCUGUAGGUCUUCCAAUGAUAAACGCAGGUUGAAUCAUGGCUUUGCCAUUAUAAGCUGUAUGGAACUGGGCCAAUCCUUUUCCUGUUCAUGGCUCAAAGAAUAAUCACCCCUUAGGGUCACCCUAUGGACUAAGUGACAGAGUAUAUGUAGAACUAUGCAUGGCACCUUUACACUGUAAGAAUUUGAUAUGUGAUAACACAUCUGGAUCAUUAUCAUUGUGACUGUUAUUUGAAUUACUUUUUCACAUUCUUUAAAGAAAAUCUCAUACAUUUCUUAUCCAGAUCCAGAAUUACCCUAACCAGAUUUUUAUCAACUGAUGUGCUCUUCACCACCUCAAGAGUUAUCUCAAGUUUCUAGCUAUUUUAAGACACAUAUUUAGAGAGUCUUCUAAUUGAUAUCAGACCUUCAGCAUUUUCUCAGAUACACUUCCCACCACGGCACCAGCAGCAGCAAAGAUAAAUAUAAUAAUGAUAACUCCAUGGAACCUCAAUGUGUGCUGAAGGAGCCAAUGACAAUAUGAACAGCAGGAGAGGAAGUUUCUUCCUACCAAUUAAUGGGAAGCCAAGUCUAAUUUGCCACCUGCAUGGCACUUUUGAACCUGUCAGGGAAAAAGCAAACCAGUGAACUUCAUCUUGUCACUAGUCUUCUUAGGGGCUGCUCUCUAAAGCAAAGGAAAAUAGCAUUCAUUAAAGUGAAAAAUAGAAAGCCCGUGUCAGCCCCCUACAUUCUCCUCUUAGUUAGAAACAGAGUCCAUGGUUGCCGAUGGGAAGGUGGUUCUGAAAGCCCACUGGAUCUGUGCUGACUCUGGAGACUGAAUAUUUUCUUAAUAAUUUCUGAUUUCUUUUUGAAAAGUUUUGACUGUUAAGUCAUUAGCUCUCUUGGAACUUCAGAGUCAAGGGACAUUUUAAACACUGGAGUUCUAAAUCUGAGAGAAUGUUGUAUAAAGUCAAAGAUAAAUUCUAAGUGUAGAAUACAGGACUUCCAAAAUGGGUUCUCCUUGAAUCAUCUAGAAUAACUAUAAACACAUUUAUACAAUCCAUUAUUAAUACAUUCCUUGGUAAAACACCCACAAUCAAACACAAAGCCCCCUUCCCAAUAUAUUUACUUUGCUUACAAUUAUGGAUGCGACCACUAGGAGGCAGGGUAACAGAUGACCAGGAUGUUAAAACUAGGGUCGACAUUAAUGCAGCUUAUAUUUAGUAGAUCUCCCAUGUGCCAGGAACAUUGCAAGGCAAAGCUACUUAUAUUCUAGAAAAUUUUCCUUAGUUGAAAAUAAACAUAUUUAUUAUUGCCACUUUUAUAUAGAAACCUUAUGCUAUCAACUUCUAAUUUAUUGAUGAUGCACCUAAUCAGAAAAAAAAACAAGCUCUUAUAGAACAUUUCUCACAAAUUAUGGUAAUCUAAUUCUCAUCGUAUCCUCAUUCCUUGAUUAAAAUUACCUCCUUCCUUUGUUAUGAACUCUUCAUCAUCUGGGUGAGGCUCCACUCUGCUGGCACAUAGAUAUGGAGGCUUUUGGCCCCAUGGGGGGCUUUCCCCUGCUUCCAGAGGCACAGGGACUUCUUUGCCCUCAUCCCAGUUGAGCUGUGGUGCUAGGCCCAGGAGCAGCCUCGUGCCCUCUCUGCCCCUCCUACCCCAGCCUCAUAUCACAGUGAAGGACUGAACUCAAAUGCACCAAAGUCAAGGGGACUCAUGGGGCCAGAGUGCUGAGAAAUCCUCUCUACCUCUUUUGAGGAUGAUAUUCCUUGUGAAGUCUUUUCUUCCACGGUAUUUCAGUUAAAGAGGCCUGGACUGCUCUGAGAAAGACCCGAGUAUGUAGCUCACCAAGUUCUACUUUAAACACCAGGGGUAGUUAGAUUGUCCCUCCUUGGAAAUUUCAUGAAGCAGAGUGGUUGAGGAAGGACGAAGCCUGUCUUGAUUUGGCAUGUAGCUGUUUAUUACUAGAAACCCAGUUUCCUUUUGAAUCAGAGGGACAGGUUUUAUUUGUCUUUUCAAUCUCUGGGGCUCAGCUCUACUCUUCCUGAAAUCUCUUCUCCCCUACAGGAUAGGGUGGCAAGGAAAGAGAAAAAUCAUGUACCAGAGCCUCGAGACCAUUCCCUUGCAUGUACGUCCAUGUCUUUUCCUCCUUGAGGGCUAUUUCCAUUUUUUCUCUUUCUGACCAAUACUUCAUGUGCCAUCAGUGACUCAGGUUGCCUCUAGCAACAGCUUUGCGUAAGCAAAUCAUCACCCACACUUUCUCCUUUUAAGAAUUGUUUCCAUAAACCUGUAACUUUCACCACAGUGUAUUUCCUAACAAGAUUUAUAACCAGGAGACUUAAUGGAUUUUAAUAAAUGGGACACUUGAAGUAUUUCCGUCAGGCCAAAUUGUCACGUUAGGGACAUUUUCCUGGGUACAGGCAUUUUGUGUAGGAUAAUUUCCCAAUAUACACACACACACACAUACACACCCCUUUAUGGGUAUCUCCAUAUGUUAUUCGUAUAAUAAUACAUAAGACAAUAAAUUGCCUUUGCAAAUAUUGGAUAUAAUAGAACUAAGCUCAAUUUAUUAGAUACCAGGAUUAAGACAUUAAAAUUAAGGCAAAAUAGGGAAAGAAUAGAAUAUAUUUGUCUUUCCAUGUGCUUUCUCCAGGGAGGACAUGAACUCAACUAGCAGUUUAAGACCCUCCCAGACUCCCUGGGCAUCACUAGAUAUGCCCUAUAUGCCCAUUUAUAUAUCAAGUCAGAAUUUUCCAAACCAGCUCCCACUUUAAAGCCUCUGUGCUGCCCAGGUCCAUCCACAGUAGUUGAGGAUAAGAAGAACAAGAAUGUCCUGAUGUCCAGGAGAGUCUUUAUGGGCAUAUCUGUCCCUAGACAAAUCUUCUUAGGAAGGAACGAGCCAAGAAAACACCACAAAGAAGUUCUAAUUUGAAACACUAUUUGCAUUGAAUGUCUAAUUUUCUAUUUUCAAUGGCCAUUUACAUCUCUGCCUUAAAUAAGCUUCAUAUAUAUAUACUCACAUGCUCAUUCAUAUAUACAGGCAUAUGUUUCUUAACGAGGGGGUAUGUACUAAGAAACUCACCCCUAACGAUUUUGUCAUUAUGUGACCCUCACAGGACAUAGUUUCAUAAGCCUCAAUGGUGUAGGUCAGUCAUUCGACGUGACCUCAACAUGUGAUUCAUGAGGCUGCUGCUGGUGGGACAGGGCAGGCUGGUUACCGUUAAAUUUUUAUAAGAACAGAGAGUACACUCUAGAAUAAUGUUGAAAAACACACAGUGUAGUAAAUACAUUAACCAGUAAUGGAGUCAUUUAUUGUCAUUGUAAGCGUCAUUACGUAGUAUGUGGGAUCCUGUGUGAUAAAAUUUUGUACAGCUGGCAGCGCAGAGGACUUUUUCACACCAGCCUCACACAGUCACACGAGUAGAGCAUCCUGCUGCCAUGUCAGGGUGGCUGUGUUGCCACUAGGCCGUAGAGUGUUUCAGCUCCAUUACAAUCUCAUGGGACUGCCAUCAAUUGUGUAUGGAGUCCAUUGUUGACUGAAAAGUGGGCUGGGGGGGGUUGUCACUCAGUGGUAGAGCAUUUG
Molecule: long non-coding RNA, 9179 nt
Organism: Marmota monax (woodchuck)
Lineage: Eukaryota; Metazoa; Chordata; Mammalia; Rodentia; Sciuridae
Exons: 5
Source: RefSeq, a predicted model, not a curated record